Molecule: long non-coding RNA, 524 nt
Organism: Hemicordylus capensis (graceful crag lizard)
Lineage: Eukaryota; Metazoa; Chordata; Lepidosauria; Squamata; Cordylidae
Exons: 3
Source: RefSeq, a predicted model, not a curated record
CUGUUUCUAUAGCAAUUUGGAAGCUUUAUGUGUAGGAAAGCAUUCUUCCAGAACGAUAUGAAGGCUGGGAUAAAUAUUGGGGCAUAAAUCUUUUUGAGUGAUUUCAGAUGGGAAGAAGCAGGCAAGCUCCAGACAUUCAUCUGUGCAGUCAGAAUAGCACUCAGACAGCAAAUGGAAUUGGAAGAAUUUAAAAGAAGAGGUGGUUGCUUCUUAGUACCUGUCAGCGGAAGAUUUCACUCUGAAGUACACAAUCCACACAUCACUUUUCUUCCUGCAUUCAAUCUGCUUUCAACUGCAGAAGAACAGAGAACUGGUGCUGCUGUUCCUGUUGGAAUCAUAUCUGCCAUCCUACUAUUAACAAGUGGGACAACAAGUCCUCACUCUCAUAAGAUUUCCUGUCUCCCCAGAUGAGUGAAAACAAGAACUCAGCCAAUGAGACCAGAGUUACAUUUCAGCCUAGCAGUCCAGCAACUUAGUCCUCCAAAGUUUCUGUGCAAUAGCUAACUUUUGGCUUGAAUGAAAUG